AAAAUUUUUCUUGGGUCAGUUUUAGAUAUCUUACAUUUUAGUUUUCAGAAUUUAUUACAAAGAAUUGGUUGAUAAGUAUGCCUGCUUGCUUGCUUGGGAUUAAUCCCUUCUAGGAGGGUGUAUUUGUGUGUGUAUGUGUGGUCUUUACAGAGACAACUGGAGCUAUAAGCGUGAGAUUUCAUUUGAUAAUCCAUAUUUCAUGCAAAACAUUCUCACCAGCAGACCAAAAUGAGAUUGCUACCAGAUUUUAAAAAUGUAUGAACAACCACCCUGUAUAAAUCGGUCCUCAGGACACUACCGGGCGAUUUGUCAUUGCCUUGCCACUAUUUAAAUGUGACAUCUGAAGAACCCUGUAUAUUAGGAAUACCAAUGAUCUGCAUGUUUAGGCAUAUAUCCCUUAUCUUAGAAAACCACAGGCUGACAGAAAUCCAUAGAGUAGAACAGCACAGCUGUAUAAUUUUCUCCUAUUUUAAAAGUAAAAUACAAUUUGUUAAAAAAAGUAUGACAUAUUUUAGAUAUCCCUUGCUUAACUCUGUCUGAAGUUACAUUUAAAUAGUAUAUGUAAGAAGAAAUCAGAGAUAGGCAAUGAAAAACCUCAUUUGCAUUGCACUAACUAUAGAGAGUGGUUCAGAUUAGGUGCAGACAUUAUUCACUAGCAAAAGUGUCCCGUUGUCAAGAAGACUUAAACUGGAUAUGUUCCUGCAUGGCAGGGAAUUGGACUGGAUGACCCUUGUGGUCUCUUCCAACUCUAUGAUUAUAUGAACCCUAUUCUGCAUUUCAUCUUAGAAAUCUACUGACAGAAGGGCUGACUGGGAGAACCAUUCUGUGAGUUCAUAUCUGUUGACACUAGAGUAAAAGGUGUGUCAAAAAAGCAGUGUUUAUAUGGGAGGGGAGGGUAGGGUAGGUAUUUAUACUAGAUUUUAGGCUCUUCUACACAUGCAUUAUAACCCAGGUUAAAUUGGGUUAAGGAGGGAGGGGUGGCUAAAUGCGGUAAGAAUCAGUAGGAAUUGGAUUAAGGGUGAGAAAACACAUGUUACAAAGGUGCCUUUUAAACCAGAUUCCUUCUGAAAAAAGUGCACCUUCCCAUGCCUGUGUAACCCUGCAGGCAUGGAAGACAAUGCUUUCCUUCCCUCUCCCCUGCUUGGAAUCCUCCCUAGCAUGUGCUUGUCAGGCAAGUCCAAAACAGCUGAUCAACUGUUAAACGCAGACACAUGUGGCUCAGGGAAGCAAAAGGGGAAAGGAAAUACAAAUUCUGACUUUUACACUUUGAAAUCUUAGAGAGAGCUUGACUUAAGAAUUGGGGGAAGACAGAGAUGCAAGGAUUCAAUUGCUAGAGACACGCUGAGGACUAAGAUGGAUAGGCCUAUCUUCCCUUCCUGCCUUAUUGAAGCAAAGUCACCACUGGAAGUGAACAACAGCAUCGUCAAAUUGGUUCUCAUAACAUGGAAUAUGAUUGGAAGUGCCUGUAUGUCAUGUGAAGGGCUAUAUGCUGAAAAUGGAGGGGAAGCAGCAUACGAUGGGCAAAUCGGCUCAUGUGAUGAGAUGUUUCAGAUGAAUCAAUUCAGGAAAUAGCAUGACCUCCAAGUCCAAGAACAUGGGAAAUGGAGAAGAGAACAGGAAGAUCACUAUUAUGGACAACUGGCUGCAGUCAUUGAAGAGCCUGCAUUGGCUGUUUCGGGCAAUGGAAACAAUUGUUUACUUUCUGGCUAGUAUACCUGUGGGCCUAUUCAUGUCCAAAUGUAUGACAUCAUUUUUGACCUCUUGUACCAGCUGACAUAUCCUGCUUUAUUCCAGAAUAUGGACUGGUUUGAGGACACUUCUCCAAAUCGACUCUUAUAGUCAAGGAGAUUCUCUAAGCCUUGUUGAUUUAUGACCUUACCUUAACUGCACCUGUUUCAAGAACACAAAGCUAAUUGCUUCCUUCCUCACAAGGUGCAAUAGGUGAGCAUUGUCAGCAGGGGUCCUUCCAGUUAGGAAUUUUUUUCUCAUUAAAAGGUUCUUAAAAAGAAAAAUAACAAUAUGAUGGCCUGAAUUCUGUUGCCUAAUUCCAAUGAAAGCAUACCCAUUGAAUUAAAUAUUAAAUGAGGAGUCAGCACAUAGAUAAAUCACAUGGAUUCAAUCUGUUUACUGUAGUUGAAAGUGGCAGAAGCAUUUGAACCCAUAUGUUUCAAGAUUCUGUGUUAUCUGUUUCAAAAGUUUUUUUCUGAUUGUUAUAAUAUUGAAAAAAAAUUACAAAAUUUUAAUGCAUUUCCACCUGCUCAGAAAAAAAGUUUUUUUUAAAGAUGCCAUUCAUCAGCCAUAUGGAUUUAUACAACAUAUAAUUUUAAGCACAUGUUCUAUUGAUAAUGAAUUCUAGAAGACAAAAGGUAGAACAUGAUUACACACAUUGCUAGAUAAGAUGAAAUGUGAAUAAUUACUUCUCCAGAACAGAGGCAUGUACUGUAUGGAGACAGUGACCUAUGCUUAUUGAUGCAUAAAAAAUGAUAUAGUUUCUACCUUAGUAAUAGACAUUAUUUUACUUUAUUUAAAGAGGGAAUUUAUUUGGUCAAUUGAAGUCUGAACUGCAGCUGACUCUGGCAUAAAGAGAGAGGAAGCUGUAAGCUUCAGUUUUGCCAAAUAUCUUGUUUCUCCAGCUGUAUGUUUGCUUUGGCCUCCAUUUCUAUCAUUUUGCAAAUAUGGGGCAAGUCAUCCUCUUCCAAAUUGGUCCACUAAAAUCAUAUUUUUAUCCACCUUUUUCUCAUAUAAAUAUAUUGUGCAUACCUUUUCAACUGCAUAAACAUUUGAAAGUAUUUUGCUCUUGUGUGGGUUAUUUUCACCUCAGUUUGGAUCCUCUCGUAGCAUUUGCAUUUCCUUUGUUUCAAAUCAGAAUAAGAUCUAAGAGACACUAGGUCCUCAAUGUCAAUUUCUGUACAAAAAGUGCAUGCAUAUAUUUGAUGGGAAUAAGGCAAAACCAGUAUUGCUGAUGGACUGUCAUCUUUGGUUACUAUUUCACAACACCAUGCACACCUCACUGCCAGUCUGCCUCCUCCCUCAUUCUAGCUUUUUUCAUGUCAGGAGUGACUUGGGAAACUACAAGUUGCUUCUGAUGUGAGACAACUGGCCUUUUGCAAGAACAUUGCCCACGGGAUGCCUGGAUGUUUUACCAUCCUAUGGGAGGCUUCUCUCAUGUCCGCACAUGAGAAGCUGGAACUGACUGAUGGGAGCUUACCCCACUUCCCGGAUUUGAACCCAUUGUGCCACCAGGGGGUCCACUUCUAGCUAUUAAUGGGUAAAACCAGUCAAUAUCUCUCUAACUCACAAUGCUCUUGUCACCUAACCUGGUACAAUAGGCCUGUUCCACUUCUGUGCUGGCAUGACUGCAAUAAAGUGAUGUCAGAGAGUGGGAUUCUUCUCUGCUCCUUGCUAUCGCAAAGCUAUUCAUUUUCCAUUUAUUUUGUAUUUUAUAGUUACGGUUUCUGUUUUGCAAAGAUGAAAUAUAUCUUUAAAAAAUCUAGAAAAGAGUAGUGAUAUGGGAAGGCUAUGCAGAAAUAUGUUCAUGGGACUAGAAAUGGUCAAAUUGUGAAAUUUCCCAAUUGGAAUGAAGUGCAAUAUAAAAGGUGUUCAAUCUGGUAUUUAUCCACUAUCAAUGAUUGCAUUGCUAAAUAAUGGUUUGUGCGAGAAAGUCCUACAUUACAAGCUGUGAACAGUCUUUAAAAACUGCACAUUUCUUUUUUUUCAAAGUUUAUUUAUAAAAUUUACAAAGAGUUGCAUUAAAAGUGGGAGAAUAUUGGGAUCUCAUAGGAAAGUAGGAAAUGAAUACCUAAAAAGAAGAGAAAGAGAAAAAAGAAGAAAAGAGAGAGAGAAGGAAAAAAAAGAAUAAAAAGUUUUUGUGACUUUCAUCCUUGUCCAUGUCAUUUUGUUGCAGGAGAUACCCCUUCCCCUGUAUUGACUGUACUUUAUUCUUAAUUCUGCUCCUCUAUAUUUAACAAGUUUUUCUCUAGACUUAUGUCUUUAUAUUACUAAUAUUUUCUUUCCUUUCCUGAUAUAAUCUAAUAAAGGUUUCCAGUCUGUGUUUUUCUUUGGUACCCUUUGUUACUUAGUUAUUAUGUAUGUUAAUCGAUCCAUAUUUUUGAUUUCCAUUACCUUGAUCAACCACUCGUCUAUAUUCGGUAUCGCUUCCUGCCUCCAAUACUUCGCAUAUAUAAUCCUUGCAGCCGUUAUCAUAUAAUUAAAUAGUAAUUCUUCAUUCUCCUUCAUCUGCACAUUUCUUGAUAGUUCUCUUGCAGCAAGGAAAAAAUCUUUAAAAUGUCAUUCUAGUUUGAAAUAAUGAAGUUCAUGAAGACGUAGUUCUGUAUUCCUGAGUUAUACCUCUUGUCCUCUUGUUGGUGCAGUUUAUUCCCUUGGUUUCCCACCUCAUCCUCUUCACCCUUCUGCAUACAAUCAACUCACUUUUUUUUUGUUUGGGGGCUCUGCAACAUGUUUUUGACUCCAUGGUGGAGAUGGAACUUAGUAGCCCAUUGGCUGUGUUUUUGGCCUUACUCCAGCAAGUUGUUCUGGCAUAUGAUCAUCUAUCAUAAUGUGUCUGUGACUGCGUGCAUUUUCUUCUUCUUUUGGCAUCCAUCUAUGGGUAUCCAGCAUAGCAUGGUCAGGUUUGGACAAUGUUUUGUAGAACACAUUAUCCCUGUUCAAUAUAUUUUUUGAAAAAAGAUCAUCCAGAAAGCUCCAACUAACACAGCAUAGCAGUAUCUUUAAAAUGUCAUCAAAAGAAAACCUGGAAGCUCUUCUAGUCAUACCAUUAAGAUAAAUGUAAAUAAUUUCUCCCUUGCACCUCAAAAUAAUUUUUGAAUUUGGCUUCCCAAAAAUUUUAAUUCUGUGAAAUAGCAUGGGAAAGAACCA
Molecule: long non-coding RNA, 4875 nt
Organism: Anolis carolinensis (green anole)
Lineage: Eukaryota; Metazoa; Chordata; Lepidosauria; Squamata; Anolidae
Exons: 4
Source: RefSeq, a predicted model, not a curated record